AGGUAUCGUAAUUGAAGAGGUUUGGAAAGACCCACCACAGAAGGUAAUAGUCCUGUAUGUUAAACGAGAAGACUUUAGAUAUGAUCCAGAGUACCACGGGACACGUGAAACCCUGUGGGAAGCAGGAGGGACCACCCUCCAAGGCUAAAUACUACCUAGUGACCGAUAGCGUAUAGUACCGUGAGGGAAAGGUGAAAAGAACCCCGGGAGGGGAGUGAAAUAGAACCUGAAACCCUGCACUUACAAGCUGUGGAAGCACAUUUCUUGUGUGACCGCGUACUUUUUGUAGAACGGGCCAACGAGUUACGUUAAGUAGCAAGGUUAAGCACUUAAGGUGUGGAGCCGUAGCGAAAGCGAGUUUUAACUGAGCGUUCAGUUACUUGACGUAGACCCGAAACCGGGCGACCUACCCAUGAGCAGGAUGAAGCGAAAGUAAAAUUUCGUGGAGGUCCGAACCCACGAGCGUUGAAAAGCUCGGGGAUGACUUGUGGGUAGCGGUGAAAUUCCAAUCGAGCCCGGAGAUAGCUGGUUCUCCCCGAAAUAGCUUUAGGGCUAGCCUCAAGGUGAGAGAUACGGAGGUAGAGCACUGAAUGUCCUAGGGGGUAUUGCACCUACCGAAGACUAUCAAACUCCGAAUGCCGUCAUCUUAUACUUGGGAGUCAGACUGUGGGUGAUAAGAUUCAUAGUCGAAAGGGCAACAGCCCAGAUCGUCAGCUAAGGUCCCUAAAUGUAAGUUAAGUGGUAAAGGAUGUGGGAUUGCACAGACAACCAGGAUGUUGGCUUAGAAGCAGCCACUCAUUCAAAGAGUGCGUAAUAGCUCACUGGUCGAGUGAUCCUGCGCCGAAGAUUUCCGGGGCUAAAACUUACUACCGAAGCUACGGCAUCAGUAAUGAUGGGUAGGGGAGCUUCCCAUACGGGUUGAAGCAUGACCGUAAGGACAUGUGGACAGUAUGGGAGUGAGAAUGUUGGCAUGAGUAGCGAGAUGUGGGUGAGAAUCCCACAGGCCGUAAACCCAAGGUUUCCAGGGGAAGGUUCGUCCGCCCUGGGUUAGUCGGGACCUAAGCUGAGGCCGAAAGGCGUAGGUGAUGGACAACAGGUUGAUAUUCCUGUACUACCGAUAACCGUUUGAGAGAAGGGAUGACACAGUAGGAUAAGCUAAGCACACUGUUGGUUAUGUGUGCCCAAGCAUUGAGGCAGUCAAAGUAGGCAAAUCCGCUUUGAUAAUGCUGGGAUGUGAUGGGGAGCGAAAUUUAGUAGCGAAGUAGCUGAUUUCACACUGUCAAGAAAAGUCUCUAUCGAGGUUAAAGGUACCCGUACCGCAAACCGACACAGGUGGGUGAGGAGAGUAUCCUAAGGCCAGCGAGAGAACUGUUGUUAAGGAACUCGGCAAAAUGACCCCGUAACUUAGGGAUAAGGGGUGCCACCAUCAGGUGGCCGCAGAGAAUAGGCCCAAGCGACUGUUUACCAAAAACAUAGGUUUCUGCUAAGUCGCAAGACGAUGUAUAGGAGCUGACGCCUGCCCGGUGCUGGAAGGUUAAGGGGAUCUGUUAGAGCAAUCGAAGCAGUGAACUUAAGCCCCAGUAAACGGCGGCCGUAACUAUAACGGUCCUAAGGUAGCGAAAUUCCUUGUCGGGUAAGUUCCGACCCGCACGAAAGGCGUAACGAUUUGGGCACUGUCUCAACAACAGACUCGGUGAAAUUGUAAUUCCGGUGAAGAUGCCGGAUACCUGCGACAGGACGGAAAGACCCCAUGGAGCUUUACUGUAGCUUGACAUUGGGUCUUGGUACUACAUGUACAGGAUAGGUGGGAGGCUUUGAAACCAGGACGCCAGUUUUGGCGGAGCCAUCCUUGGGAUACCACCCUUGUAGUACUGGGACUCUAACCAUAGGCCAUGAAUCUGGUCUUGGGACACUGUCAGGUGGGCAGUUUGACUGGGGCGGUCGCCUCCCAAAAGGUAACGGAGGCGCUCAAAGGUUCUCUCAGUACGGUCGGAAAUCGUACGUAGAGUGUAAAGGCAAAAGAGAGCUUGAUUGCAAGACAUACAGGUCGAGCAAGGAUGAAAAUCGGACUUAGUGAUCCGGUGGUUCUGCGUGGAAGGGCCAUCGCUCAACGGAUAAAAGCUACCCUGGGGAUAACAGGCUUAUCUCCCCCAAGAGUCCACAUCGACGGGGAGGUUUGGCACCUCGAUGUCGGCUCAUCACAUCCUGGGGCUGUAGUAGGUCCCAAGGGUUGGGCUGUUCGCCCAUUAAAGUGGUACGCGAGCUGGGUUCAGAACGUCGUGAGACAGUUCGGUCCCUAUCCGUCGCAGGCGUAGGAAAUUUGAGAAGACCUGUCCUUAGUACGAGAGGACCGGGAUGGACGUACCUCUGGUGUACCAGUUGUCCUGCCAAGGGCAUGGCUGGGUAGCUAUGUACGGAAUGGAUAAGCGCUGAAAGCAUCUAAGCGCGAAGCCAACUUCAAGAUAAGAUUUCCCACCGCAAGGGUAAGACCCCAGAAAGACUAUCUGGUUGA
Molecule: ribosomal RNA, 2512 nt
Filed under: Clostridioides difficile
Lineage: Bacteria; Bacillati; Bacillota; Clostridia; Peptostreptococcales; Peptostreptococcaceae
Description: bacterial LSU rRNA
Rfam family: Bacterial large subunit ribosomal RNA
Source: RNAcentral